This 182-nucleotide non-coding RNA is filed under the name Ornithinimicrobium sp. CNJ-824. RNAcentral also lists the same sequence under 1 other name. The record is from RNAcentral. Lineage: Bacteria; Bacillati; Actinomycetota; Actinomycetes; Micrococcales; Ornithinimicrobiaceae.
GACACCCCGGUCGACGUCGGUCGCACCCCGUGUGCAAAGGGAAUCCGGUCCAAAUCCGGAGCUGACGCGCAGCGGUAGGGGUGACGGCCGGGGCGGACACGCCACUGGGCUCAUGGUGCCCGGGAAGGUGCCCCGGUCGGACGAUCCCGAGCCCGAAGACCUGCCGACGUCGUUGGUGAGGG